Molecule: long non-coding RNA, 3119 nt
Filed under: Homo sapiens (human)
Lineage: Eukaryota; Metazoa; Chordata; Mammalia; Primates; Hominidae
Description: HSALNT0333199
Source: RNAcentral
AGCCAGCAGUUACAGGACUCACUCAGCACUCACACAAACUGAAGGGCCCGGUCUCACUCCUACCGUGCCCCCCACAACAGCCCUGAGUCUGUUUCCAGGUGGUGGGCGAGAGGGGUUUGAAAAUUUGCCCCAGGCUAUCCGCCUCCCAGCUGGGCAAGAAAAGGGCGUGGUUGUUCCCCCACUGAGGAGUCUGCACACCGGAUUUGCAUCUUCCCCUGAGUUCUGGCCUGGAGGCUUCUCGCCCCUGCAAAUUGUUACAAAGUUCAGCUAGAGGGUUCCUUCUUCCUGUGGAGUUUUACCUUCUGCUCCUCUGGCCACCCUCCUGAUGGAUCCCUGUGGUGCCAGGCAGGAAUGACCUGCUUAAGGACCCAGCGAGCUCCCAGGACCUUUCUGCUGCUUCCUCUACCCGUAUAUUUUGCUUGCUUCUCUACAUUGACUCAGCUCCAGCGAUUCCUGAGGAAUCUCAUCCACACUACCCUAUGGACUAAAAGGAAAAGCUCUUCAUGUGGUGUUAGCACGGAGAUGAGAAAGAGAGAAAGACAACAUCAUGCUUUGCUGUCUGUGUGUGAACUGAGUAACAGCUGUGAAGGAUCAGUCACCAAAAGACUUUGAAAGAAGAGGCUUGAUUGGUCACGGUAAUGAUGCUCCCCUGGCCAUGGAAGUUUAAUUGGGAGAAAAGAACAUCUGCUUAUACGAAAACAUAUUAUAUUCAGCCAUCCCUGCCCUGACUUUGGCCUUUAAAAACAGUGGCAUUAAUUAUCUCAACAAAUGAAUCUUCGGGAUAAAAAUAAUCUAAAUAUUAUUUUACGCUUACUACAUAUUUGCAACGUGCUAAGCUCUUUAUGGUUGCUACCACAAAAAACAUUUAUAAUAUGAGACUUCACAAGGUUAGGAACAGGCUUCACUUCAUUGUGAUGUGUGUAAGGUGACAGAGGACAUAUAACGAAUACGUGGAAGAACUAGGAAUUUGACCUUAGCUUCCAGACAUUUUGAGGAGGAUACACUAUGUCCAUCUUGCUUUCCUAUCAAGAAAAGUAUACCCAGUUUGUGCAGUAGCCCUGUACCAACAGAUACAUUACAGCAGGUUGUUUCCGUAUUUUGGCUAUUGUGAAUAGUGCUGCAAUAAACAUGGAAGUGCUGAUAUAUCUUUGAGAUCUUGACUUCAAACAAAAGAAGAAAAUCUUGCAAUAUAUGACAACACGGAUUAACCUGGAGGACAUUGUGCUUAGUGAAGUUAGCCAGUCACAGACUGACAAGUACUGCACGAUUCCACUUAUAUGAUGCCACUGAAAGGUAAACAUACCAUUCUGACAUGCAUGAAAAUGAAACGACAAAUUGAUACACGCAGUGCUUGGAAUGGAUGGAGUCCUUCUAAUGAGUGAUUACCUGUGGUAUAACUAUAUUGAUUGUGUUUGUACAUGUCAAAUGGGGCUGGCGAGGAUGAACUUGAAGAAAUCAAUCUUGGAACCUGCUAGGACAGCAGCCUCCUGGUUUCACAGUACUAAAUCAUGACUUCAAAAUUUUGAAGUAAAAGAAAACUGCAAAACUUUGUAAAGGUACCAGUCUCUUCCUGACACUAUUUGCCUUGGCAAAAGAUUCACUGUCAACUUAAAAGACUAACAUGUGCUCAGAUGAUGAUUUGUGGAGGACAGAUAAUUAUGAGUACAUUUAGAAAUACACACUCUUCCAAACCCUGCUCUUUCCAUAUAAUGAAGUUAUUUAUUUCUAUUUUUUAUUUAUUUUUCUAAUAAUUACAAACAUACUUUGGAGACCCACAUUCCUGUAUUAUUCUUUCAACAUACUGAAGAAGAGUUAUUUCUAUGCUUCUUUCUAUGUGUUGGGCUUAAGAUUUAUUAGAAGGAAUGUGUAAAAACAAAGGCAGCAAAGUUUCUAUUUUUAUUGGGAGUCACUCCCGGAGUAAGUGGGGAUAGUUGUGCACACACACACACACACAUUCAUGCACAAAGAAAGAGUGAUCAAGUGUAUAACACACUUUUAGCAGUGUUUUGCUGGAAGAAUAAAGUAUAACUCCUUGUCCGCCCUUUUAUUAUACUGGGGUUCACACUAAGAGAGUCUGAGGACCUGUGGAACUCCCAUUUGCAUGAAAUAACUUUUGCAUCUAUUCUGGAGGAAAACUUCCUAAGGCAGAUUUGGACAGAAAAUUGCUAUCAGCGCAAAUAAAACAAUGCAAAGCCUACUCCGGGGAACGUUGCUCUGCCACCACUACUGAAAUGGGUCAUCCCCUUGGUUUCUGAAUAAAGAAUUAUGAAACCUGGGGCUAGAAUGCUCAGGGAGGAAUUUACCAAUCCAAAUCUUCCCCUUAUGGUAGAGAACAAACUUUCAAGGUUUGUUCUCCACUGUAAGUGUGCGAGGGCUGUUAGGGACCGUAAUAUGGCUGCCGGAGACUGGUGUGUGUACCUCCUUGACUGUACGUCUCAUUUCCAGUUAUGAUUUUACAAUCAUCUCUUUCUCAACCUUUGCUUUUAAAUAUAGGAAGGUACGGCUCACCAUGGAGCGGACAUUUUCUUCAGGAGCGGUACGGUGUCUAAGAUAUGCAGAGGUUGUAUUCUAGUCCUAUAACUCAAUUCUCAAACACAUGGCUUUUAGCCAGGGAUAUCCUAAAGGAAAAUUACACUAUAUGCAACCCCUCCUUACUCCUCAAAUAUUAUCUAUAUUAAACACAGCUGAAAUUUGAGAGUGUCCUUACAGGUGAAAAUUUAACAAUUUAACAAAAGGACACUGCUGAAUGUGUGGGGACAAAGGAAGGAUGAAUCUUUCAUCAUGACAAAAGACUACUUGCCACAUUCUCCCUUAACUUAGAAAAACAGAAAAGAGGCUGGGCGUGGUGGCUCCUGCCUGUAACCUCAGCACUUUGGGAGGCUGAGAUGGGUGGAUCAUUUGAGGUCAGGAGUUCGAGACCAGCCUGGCCAACAUGGUGAAACCCCGCCUCUACUAAAAAAUUCAAAAACUAGCCAGGCAUGGUGGCGGGUGCCUGUAGUUCCAGCUACUCAGGAGGCUGAGGCAGGAGAAUCUCCUGAACCCAGGAGGCGGAGGUUGCAGUGAGUCGAGAUCACACCACUGCACUCCAGCAACAGAGCAAGGCUCUGUCUGUCUCAAAA